Non-coding RNA from Strongylocentrotus purpuratus (purple sea urchin), 47 nucleotides. NCBI's taxonomy places the organism in Eukaryota, Metazoa, Echinodermata, Echinoidea, Camarodonta, Strongylocentrotidae. The record is from Rfam.
AAACCGGCUCUUUUUAGAGCCACCAAAUAUUCAAGAAAGAAAUGUUU